AAUUUUUUUAUUUUUUUUUUCAACCUGGCCCACGUGACGUACAGACCCGCCACAAAUACAAAGUUCAUCUGUCCACUCGGACAGAGUCUCCUUUGUAUUCGCACGGCGUACCAACUAUACAACAGGAUCACAACCACAACCUACAAUUACCAAUCAACAACCAAUUAAUGAUAUGCAUUUUCAUACAGCGAACAAUCCUUAGAGAUGAUGCAUGCCUCUAAGCACUCCUUAGGCGCUGGAUGAUGCAAUGCACAGUACAACAAUCAUCCUAUUUAAAAGUGCUCCCCACACAGAAGCUUUUAUUUUUGAACUCUAAUUCAUUCAUCAUGAAAAACCAUUUGAAAACCUUUUUAAAACUAUUUCCCACACGGAAAUUCUAUUUUGAAAACCAACUACCUCGAGGGGUAGAAAACCACGAUAUGUAAAUACAAGAAAAUCCGAUAUCCAUAGAAUCAACAUCCAAAUCCACAAACCUCAGUUCACAUGCAUAAAUAAUGAAAGCAUCCAUAGAUCUACCAAAACCAGAUCACCACAUUCAAACAAUCAUAAAGAUUAGCUAACUGAACCAUUAUUU
RNAcentral lists this long non-coding RNA (574 nucleotides) under Ananas comosus (pineapple). RNAcentral describes it as "long non-coding RNA (ACOM_LNC039492)". Lineage: Eukaryota; Viridiplantae; Streptophyta; Magnoliopsida; Poales; Bromeliaceae. The record is from RNAcentral.